Hyla sarda is the source of this 814-nucleotide long non-coding RNA. RefSeq lists it as uncharacterized. Lineage: Eukaryota; Metazoa; Chordata; Amphibia; Anura; Hylidae. The record is from RefSeq and is a predicted model, not a curated record. The transcript is spliced from 3 exons.
UUUUCUGAGGACAUGGAAGAGGGAAAGGGAAGGAGCUCAUCAUGACCCUGGAGAAACGCCCCCAGCCUCCAAGGGAAGUGCAAAAAGACUGAGCACAGUAAUACAUAGAUCAAAAGUCCUUAAAACUGUCAGGAAAGAAGUGAACUCGAGAACCCUUGGAGUGAAAAUAACAGUAUAUCAGUUUCAGAAAAGUUGCUGACUGGAGUCCUCGGGGUUAACCUGUUUGUGCAGGAGGAUGAUAAGGGGAUCACAUGUUUGCUUUAGCCAAUGAGGGCUGCGGCUGCUGCCCUGCUUCCCGUCACUAUUAGAUCUGUACCUCACCACAUAAGGACAAGCCUAAGAAAAUCCAGUUGCAGCACUAAAUUGUUCCAGAGCUACAGAACCCUUCACAGGAUCCCACUGACCAGGUUCUCCAUUCCAGUCAGAAGAAAGUCUGCAGUGGGGAGAAGAGCCAAGAGAGCCCACAGAACCAAUGAGCAAAGAAGAGGAUAACGGGAGAUAGCAAAGCCCCGGACAAAUAAAAUCCAGAAAUCUACAAUUUUGACCUGGCAGUAAGCCCUAAUUCCAGGUAGCUAUUUGGAAAGUAGAGUCAGUGUUGUCAGCUUAUAAGUCUCAUCCAAGUUAACAAUCCAGCCCAGUCCAAACAUAAUUCAGCAAUCCAGAAGCUAGUCAGUCAGUGAGGACUAAAAGAUCCAUAAUGCCCUGAAGCAACUGUGAUCCCUGCAGCAAAUUCCAUCUAUCUUUGCACUAACAUUGAACUGUUCCUGUAUUUAUUUAUUUAUUUUUUGCAAGUUUCUGAGUAAAAUUCAAUAGU